AAUCAACGCUGGCGGCGUGCCUAACACAUGCAAGUCGAACGCGAAAAGGGCUUCGGCUCUUAGUAGAGUGGCAAACGGGUGAGUAACACGUGGGUGACCUACCUUCGAAUGGGGGAUAACGUCCCGAAAGGGACGCUAAUACCGCAUAACAUCCUGCCUUUGAACAGGUGGAGAUCAAAGCCGGGGAUCGCAAGACCUGGCGUUUGAAGAGGGGCCCGCGUCUGAUUAGCUAGNGGUGAGGUAACGGCUCACCAAGGCGACGAUCAGUAUCCGGCCUGAGAGGGCGGACGGACACACCGGGACUGAGACACGGCCCAGACUCCUACGGGAGGCAGCAGUGGGGAAUUGUUCGCAACGGGCGCAAGCCUGACGACGCAACGCCGCGUGGAGGAUGAAGGUCUUCGGAUUGUAAACUCCUGUUGCCCGGGACGAAAGCUUCGACCUAAUACGUCGGAGUCUGACGGUACCGGGUGA
This 474-nucleotide ribosomal RNA is filed under the name uncultured bacterium. RNAcentral's name for it is "bacterial SSU rRNA". It matches the Rfam family "Bacterial small subunit ribosomal RNA", at positions 32 to 485 of the family's 1533-position model. The record is from RNAcentral.